GGAUGAGAUUUGUUCCGAGAGGAUAGGAAAUCUGGGAGGAACUCGGAUCAAGCUUGGAUGCAAGGCUGUUUCGCUAGUAGGAGGGCGCGGAUCCGGAAACUGAAGAUAAGAUAGCUGGGAGAAGGUGAUCCGGAAACAGAGGAUGUUGAUGGUUGUUGGGAACGGAACUGGGAGCUGAUUUCCGUGGAAUCUGGGGUGCAUGCGGAGGCUU
This 211-nucleotide long non-coding RNA is filed under the name Phoenix dactylifera (date palm). RNAcentral describes it as "long non-coding RNA (PDAC_LNC016640)". Lineage: Eukaryota; Viridiplantae; Streptophyta; Magnoliopsida; Arecales; Arecaceae. The record is from RNAcentral.